Molecule: long non-coding RNA, 281 nt
Filed under: Capra hircus (goat)
Lineage: Eukaryota; Metazoa; Chordata; Mammalia; Artiodactyla; Bovidae
Description: lncRNA (ENSCHIG00000005535.1)
Source: RNAcentral
GAGAAGGUCAGCAGGACUGAGGCUGUUUCCGGAACACUGGUGAACAUGGCUGGUAGAUUCACUGAUCCUAGGUCCCUUGGACAGCAUGACCGGGUCUCUGAGCUGGACUGGAGGCUCUUCUAGGCUCUGACAGAACCAUUCCUAGGAUCCUGCCCAAAUCUUGAUGUGCCAAGCUGACGCGGCUCUGCAAGUAUUCCCUGUCCACAUCAGAUUUGGAGAAGUCCUAGUGGCUCAAGAAAUAAAAGAACCCACUUGCAGUGCACCAGACACCAGAGAAGUGG